This is a small nucleolar RNA of Choloepus hoffmanni (Hoffmann's two-fingered sloth), 65 nucleotides long. Its record names the gene SNORD58. It matches the Rfam family "Small nucleolar RNA SNORD58". Rfam says of the family: snoRNA U58 is found in introns 1, 3 and 6 of the ribosomal protein RPL17 gene in humans. U58 is a member of the C/D class of snoRNA which contain C (UGAUGA) and D (CUGA) box motifs. The record is from Ensembl. Lineage: Eukaryota; Metazoa; Chordata; Mammalia; Pilosa; Megalonychidae.
UUGCUGUGAUGACUAUCUUAGGACACCUUUGGAAUAACCAUGAAAGAAAAACUAUUCUGAGCAAC